GCCUGGGUGGCUCAGUCGGUUGAGCGUCCGACUUCGGCUCAGGUCAUGAUCUCACCUUCGUGAGUUCGUGGGUUCGAGCCCCACAUCGGGCU
This 92-nucleotide transfer RNA is filed under the name Felis catus (domestic cat). It matches the Rfam family "tRNA". Rfam says of the family: Transfer RNA (tRNA) molecules are approximately 80 nucleotides in length. Their secondary structure includes four short double-helical elements and three loops (D, anti-codon, and T loops). RNAcentral also lists the same sequence under 1 other name. Lineage: Eukaryota; Metazoa; Chordata; Mammalia; Carnivora; Felidae. The record is from Rfam by way of RNAcentral.